GUGGGGAAUAUUGGACAAUGGGCGCAAGCCUGAUCCAGCCAUGCCGCGUGAGUGAUGAAGGCCUUAGGGUUGUAAAGCUCUUUCAGUGGGGACGAUAAUGACGGUACCCACAGAAGAAGCCCCGGCUAACUUCGUGCCAGCAGCCGCGGUAAUACGAAGGGGGCUAGCGUUGUUCGGAUUUAUUGGGCGUAAAGCGCACGUAGGCGGAUCGUUAAGUCGGGGGUGAAAUCCUGGAGCUCAACUCCAGAACUGCCUUCGAUACUGGCGAUCUUGAGUCCGGAAGAGGUGAGUGGAACUCCUAGUGUAGAGGUGGAAUUCGUAGAUAUUAGGAAGAACACCAGUGGCGAAGGCGGCUCACUGGUCCGGUACUGACGCUGAGGUGCGAAAGCGUGGGGAGCAAACAGGAUUAGAAACCCGUGUAGUCC
RNAcentral lists this ribosomal RNA (425 nucleotides) under uncultured bacterium. RNAcentral describes it as "bacterial SSU rRNA". It matches the Rfam family "Bacterial small subunit ribosomal RNA", at positions 354 to 796 of the family's 1533-position model. The record is from RNAcentral.